This 1067-nucleotide ribosomal RNA is filed under the name Gemmiger sp. An87. RNAcentral's name for it is "bacterial LSU rRNA". It matches the Rfam family "Bacterial large subunit ribosomal RNA", at positions 131 to 1208 of the family's 2925-position model. Lineage: Bacteria; Bacillati; Bacillota; Clostridia; Eubacteriales; Oscillospiraceae. The record is from RNAcentral.
CUGGAGUAAACCUCCAGUACCGUAUACUGAAUCAAAUAGGUAUACGGAGGGAACCGCCUGAACUGAAACAUCUAAGUAGGGCGAGGAAGAGACAUCAACUGAGAUUCCGUAAGUAGUGGCGAGCGAACGCGGAAGAGGCCAAACCGAGGGUAGAAAUACCUUCGGGGUUCGGACUGCUUUAAGGACUGCGAUUGUUAACCGAAGGGCAUGGGAAGGCCCACCGAAGAGUGUGAGAGUCACGUAGGUGAAAACGAAAGCAGCUGCGCAGUAUCCAGAGUACGGCCAGACACGUGAAACCUGGUCGGAACACGGGGGGACCACCCUCCAAGCCUAAAUACUACCCAGUGACCGAUAGCGUAUAGUACUGUGAAGGAAAGGUGAAAAGAACCCCGGGAGGGGAGUGAAAUAGAACCUGAAACCCUGUGCCUACAAGCACAUAGAGCACGUCAAAGUGUGAUAUGGUACUUUUUGUAGAACGGUCCGGCGAGCGACUGUAUGCAGCGAGGUUAAGUUGUUAAGCAAUGGAGCCGAAGCGAGAGCGAGUCUGAAUAGGGCGUUUAGUUGCAUGCAGUGGGCCCGAAACCGGGUGACCUAUCCAUGGUCAGGUUGAAGUGGAGGUAAAACUCCAUGGAGGACCGAACCGACCUCCGUUGAAAAGGCGGCGGAUGAACUGUGGAUAGCGGAGAAAUUCCAAUCGAACCCGGAGAUAGCUGGUUCUCCCCGAAAUAGUUUUAGGACUAGCCUCAUGUUAGAUUUCCGGAGGUAAAGCACUGAAUAGCCUAGGGCCCGAGAGGGUACCGAAGCUUAUCAAACUAAGAAUGCCGGAAAAUUGAUGCAUGGGAGUCAGACUGUGUGAGAUAAGUCUCACAGUCAAAAGGGAAACAGCCCAGAUCUACAGCUAAGGUCCCAAAGCAGGUUUAAGUGGAAAAGGAUGUGAAGUUGCUAAGACAACCAGGAUGUUGGCUUAGAAGCAGCCACUCAUUCAAAGAGUGCGUAAUAGCUCACUGGUCGAGUGACUUUGCGCCGAAAAUUCAACGGGGCUAAAACCUGCACCGAAGCUUAGGCAA